RNAcentral lists this ribosomal RNA (252 nucleotides) under uncultured bacterium. RNAcentral's name for it is "partial 16S ribosomal RNA". It matches the Rfam family "Bacterial small subunit ribosomal RNA", at positions 524 to 776 of the family's 1533-position model. The record is from RNAcentral.
UACAUAGGUCACAAGCGUUAUCCGGAUUUAUUGGGCGUAAAGGGUCCGCAGGUUGUUUAGCAAGUUUGAGGUUAAAGCCCGGAGCUCAACUCCGGUUCGCCUCGAAAACUGCUAGACUAGAGUAUGAGAGAGAGCAGUGGAAUUCCACAUGUAGCGGUGGAAUGCAUAGAUAUGUGGAGGAACACCAGUGGCGAAGGCGGCUGCUUGGCUCAUUACUGACACUCAGGGACGAAAGCGUGGGUAGCAAACAGG